CUGCAAGCUUGAGAUCCGCAGGAAGGGCAGCCAGCCCCCAAAGACCCCAAUGUGGUGGAGUGGUGCUGAUUUUUCUCUCUUUCUCUCCCACUGCAGGUUCCCCCCUCGCAACUGACUCCGACACAUCCGCCUGCCUGCCACUUGGCGGCCACAGCUCCCUGGAGAACUUCCCAGGUAUGCAUCAGUGCUAUUUUUCUAGAAAAAGAGGUGCCAGAACUCACCGUGAACUUCUCCCUUGUUCUCUUAUAAUGGCAAUGGUCGCCACCUGAAUUCCGGUGAGUUCCGGCUGAAAAAAAUCCCUGGUAUCAGGAAUUGAAAUCGUCAAGUAUUUUCUGUAUCACAGAGCUCGUUGCACCGGAAAGUCCUCUGGAAGAACGUACAGCAAGACAUGUCCGCUUCGUGAAUUUGGACUCUGGGAGACAGUGCCAGCAUAACCUGUGGAAUUAAUUGGAAAGCAAUUCUGAAUGCUUUCUCAUCAGAAUGCCUUACCACUGUAUUGGACUACUGCAAUGCGCUCAACAUGGGGCUACCUUUGAAGGUGACCCGGAAACCACAACUACUCCAGAAUGUGGCAGCUAGACUGGUGACUGGGAGUGGCUGCUGAGACCAUAUUACACCGGUCCUGAAAGACCUACGUUGGCUCCCAGUACGUUUCUGAGCACAAUUCAAAGUGUUGGUGCUGACCUUGAAAGCCCUGCGAGAACUGAGGUUAAAGGGAAUCAGGCAGAGGGGCUUCUCGGUAGUGGCGCCCACCCUGUGGAACGCCCUCCCACCAGAUGUCUAGGAAAUAAACAACAAUCUGACUUUUAGAAGACAUCUGAAGGCAGCCCUGUAUAGGGAAAUUUUUAAUGUUUGAUCUUUUAUUGUGUUUUUAACAUCCUGUUGGGAGCUGCCCGGAGUGGUAUAAAUGGGCAGUGUACAAUAAUAAUAAUAAUAAUAAUAAUAAUAAUAAUAAUAAUAAUAAUUCAAUCUCCUUUUAUAAAACAGCAAAUCUAAACAAUGCUCUUUCUAUACCCUUUGAACAAUUUCCUUUGGAACUAACUGCACUUGCACUAAUUGUAAUUGCACUUGGAAUUAAUUAGGGUUGCCAUACACCCAGGAAAACCCAGGCAUGCCCUCUUUUUGGGAUCCAACAUGCCCAUUCAGGUGUAUUUUUACAUUUUAAAGGAAAUGUCUGGGUCAGUGGGGGUGGGGUUCAGACUCAGGUUGCUCUGCACGCUGCAGCCGCUGCCAU
This 1234-nucleotide long non-coding RNA is filed under the name Podarcis muralis (Common wall lizard). RNAcentral's name for it is "lncRNA (ENSPMRG00000001641.1)". Lineage: Eukaryota; Metazoa; Chordata; Lepidosauria; Squamata; Lacertidae. The record is from RNAcentral.